AUUGAACGCUGGCGGCAGGCCUAACACAUGCAAGUCGAGCGGAUGAAGGGAGCUUGCUCCUGGAUUCAGCGGCGGACGGGUGAGUAAUGCCUAGGAAUCUGCCUGGUAGUGGGGGAUAACGUCCGGAAACGGGCGCUAAUACCGCAUACGUCCUGAGGGAGAAAGUGGGGGAUCUUCGGACCUCACGCUAUCAGAUGAGCCUAGGUCGGAUUAGCUAGUUGGUGGGGUAAAGGCCUACCAAGGCGACGAUCCGUAACUGGUCUGAAAGGAUGAUCAGUCACACUGGAACUGAGGCACGGUCCAGACUCCUACGGGAGGCAGCAGUGGGGAAUAUUGGACAAUGGGCGAAAGCCUGAUCCAGCCAUGCCGCGUGUGUGAAGAAGGUCUUCGGAUUGUAAAGCACUUUAAGUUGGGAGGAAGGGCAGUAAGUUAAUACCUUGCUGUUUUGACGUUACCAACAGAAUAAGCACCGGCUAACUUCGUG
RNAcentral lists this ribosomal RNA (484 nucleotides) under uncultured bacterium. RNAcentral's name for it is "partial 16S ribosomal RNA". It matches the Rfam family "Bacterial small subunit ribosomal RNA", at positions 30 to 507 of the family's 1533-position model. The record is from RNAcentral.